GACAGAGGGGGCAAGCGUUGCUCGGAAUCACUGGGCGUAAAGGGCGCGUAGGCGGGAUGGCAAGUCGGUCGUGAAAUCCUUCGGCUCAACCGAAGAACGUCGGCCGAUACUGCCGUUCUUGAGGGAUGCAGAGGAGAUUGGAAUUCCCGGUGUAGCGGUGAAAUGUGUAGAGAUCGGGAGGAACACCGGUGGCGAAGGCGGCCUUCUGGACAGUGACUGACGCUGAGACGCGAAAGCGUGGGGAGCAAACAGG
This 253-nucleotide ribosomal RNA is filed under the name uncultured bacterium. RNAcentral describes it as "partial 16S ribosomal RNA". It matches the Rfam family "Bacterial small subunit ribosomal RNA", at positions 524 to 776 of the family's 1533-position model. The record is from RNAcentral.